This 2925-nucleotide ribosomal RNA is filed under the name Salmonella enterica subsp. enterica serovar Enteritidis. RNAcentral's name for it is "partial 23S ribosomal RNA". It matches the Rfam family "Bacterial large subunit ribosomal RNA". The record is from RNAcentral. Lineage: Bacteria; Pseudomonadati; Pseudomonadota; Gammaproteobacteria; Enterobacterales; Enterobacteriaceae.
GGGUUGUGAGGUUAAGCGACUAAGCGUACACGGUGGAUGCCCUGGCAGUCAGAGGCGAUGAAGGGCGUGCUAAUCUGCGAUAAGCGCCGGUAAGGUGAUAUGAACCGUUAUAACCGGCGAUACCCGAAUGGGGAAACCCAGUGUGACUCGUCACACUAUCAUUAACUGAAUCCAUAGGUUAAUGAGGCGAACCGGGGGAACUGAAACAUCUAAGUACCCCGAGGAAAAGAAAUCAACCGAGAUUCCCCCAGUAGCGGCGAGCGAACGGGGAGGAGCCCAGAGCCUGAAUCAGCAUGUGUGUUAGUGGAAGCGUCUGGAAAGGCGCGCGAUACAGGGUGACAGCCCCGUACACAAAAGCGCAUGUGCUGUGAGCUCGAUGAGUAGGGCGGGACACGUGGUAUCCUGUCUGAAUAUGGGGGGACCAUCCUCCAAGGCUAAAUACUCCUGACUGACCGAUAGUGAACCAGUACCGUGAGGGAAAGGCGAAAAGAACCCCGGCGAGGGGAGUGAAAAAGAACCUGAAACCGUGUACGUACAAGCAGUGGGAGCACAGGUUUACCUGUGUGACUGCGUACCUUUUGUAUAAUGGGUCAGCGACUUAUAUUCUGUAGCAAGGUUAACCGAAUAGGGGAGCCGGAGGGAAACCGAGUCUUAAUUGGGCGUUAAGUUGCAGGGUAUAGACCCGAAACCCGGUGAUCUAGCCAUGGGCAGGUUGAAGGUUGGGUAACACUAACUGGAGGACCGAACCGACUAAUGUUGAAAAAUUAGCGGAUGACCUGUGGCUGGGGGUGAAAGGCCAAUCAAACCGGGAGAUAGCUGGUUCUCCCCGAAAGCUAUUUAGGUAGCGCCUCGUGAAUUCAUCUCCGGGGGUAGAGCACUGUUUCGGCUAGGGGGCCAUCCCGGCUUACCAACCCGAUGCAAACUGCGAAUACCGGAGAAUGUUAUCACGGGAGACACACGGCGGGUGCUAACGUCCGUCGUGAAGAGGGAAACAACCCAGACCGCCAGCUAAGGUCCCAAAGUCAUGGUUAAGUGGGAAACGAUGUGGGAAGGCCCAGACAGCCAGGAUGUUGGCUUAGAAGCAGCCAUCAUUUAAAGAAAGCGUAAUAGCUCACUGGUCGAGUCGGCCUGCGCGGAAGAUGUAACGGGGCUAAACCAUGCACCGAAGCUGCGGCAGCGACACUGUGUGUUGUUGGGUAGGGGAGCGUUCUGUAAGCCUGUGAAGGUGUGUCGUGAGGCAUGCUGGAGGUAUCAGAAGUGCGAAUGCUGACAUAAGUAACGAUAAAGCGGGUGAAAAGCCCGCUCGCCGGAAGACCAAGGGUUCCUGUCCAACGUUAAUCGGGGCAGGGUGAGUCGACCCCUAAGGCGAGGCCGAAAGGCGUAGUCGAUGGGAAACGGGUUAAUAUUCCCGUACUUGGUGUUACUGCGAAGGGGGGACGGAGAAGGCUAUGUUGGCCGGGCGACGGUUGUCCCGGUUUAAGCGUGUAGGUGUGUGUUCCAGGUAAAUCCGGUUCACUUUAACACUGAGGCGUGACGACGAGGCACUACGGUGCUGAAGCAACAAAUGCCCUGCUUCCAGGAAAAGCCUCUAAGCAUCAGGUAACAUCAAAUCGUACCCCAAACCGACACAGGUGGUCAGGUAGAGAAUACCAAGGCGCUUGAGAGAACUCGGGUGAAGGAACUAGGCAAAAUGGUGCCGUAACUUCGGGAGAAGGCACGCUGACACGUAGGUGAAGUGAUUUACUCAUGGAGCUGAAGUCAGUCGAAGAUACCAGCUGGCUGCAACUGUUUAUUAAAAACACAGCACUGUGCAAACACGAAAGUGGACGUAUACGGUGUGACGCCUGCCCGGUGCCGGAAGGUUAAUUGAUGGGGUCAGCGCAAGCGAAGCUCCUGAUCGAAGCCCCGGUAAACGGCGGCCGUAACUAUAACGGUCCUAAGGUAGCGAAAUUCCUUGUCGGGUAAGUUCCGACCUGCACGAAUGGCGUAAUGAUGGCCAGGCUGUCUCCACCCGAGACUCAGUGAAAUUGAACUCGCUGUGAAGAUGCAGUGUACCCGCGGCAAGACGGAAAGACCCCGUGAACCUUUACUAUAGCUUGACACUGAACAUUGAGCCUUGAUGUGUAGGAUAGGUGGGAGGCUUUGAAGUGUGGACGCCAGUCUGCAUGGAGCCGACCUUGAAAUACCACCCUUUAAUGUUUGAUGUUCUAACGUGGACCCGUUACCCGGGUUGCGGACAGUGUCUGGUGGGUAGUUUGACUGGGGCGGUCUCCUCCUAAAGAGUAACGGAGGAGCACGAAGGUUGGCUAAUCCUGGUCGGACAUCAGGAGGUUAGUGCAAUGGCAUAAGCCAGCUUGACUGCGAGCGUGACGGCGCGAGCAGGUGCGAAAGCAGGUCAUAGUGAUCCGGUGGUUCUGAAUGGAAGGGCCAUCGCUCAACGGAUAAAAGGUACUCCGGGGAUAACAGGCUGAUACCGCCCAAGAGUUCAUAUCGACGGCGGUGUUUGGCACCUCGAUGUCGGCUCAUCACAUCCUGGGGCUGAAGUAGGUCCCAAGGGUAUGGCUGUUCGCCAUUUAAAGUGGUACGCGAGCUGGGUUUAGAACGUCGUGAGACAGUUCGGUCCCUAUCUGCCGUGGGCGCUGGAGAACUGAGGGGGGCUGCUCCUAGUACGAGAGGACCGGAGUGGACGCAUCACUGGUGUUCGGGUUGUCAUGCCAAUGGCACUGCCCGGUAGCUAAAUGCGGAAGAGAUAAGUGCUGAAAGCAUCUAAGCACGAAACUUGCCCCGAGAUGAGUUCUCCCUGAGACUUAGAGUCUCCUGAAGGAACGUUGAAGACGACGACGUUGAUAGGCCGGGUGUGUAAGCGCAGCGAUGCGUUGAGCUAACCGGUACUAAUGAACCGUGAGGCUUAACCUUACAACGCCG